UACGUAGGCAGCGAGCGUUGUUCGGAAUUACUGGGCGUAAAGAGUGUGUAGGCGGUGCUCUAAGUUCGGUGUGAAAUCUCCCGGCUUAACUGGGAGGGGGCGACGGAAACUGGAGUGCUCGAGCGUGGGAGAGGAAAGCGGAAUUCCUGGUGUAGCGGUGAAAUGCGUAGAUAUCAGGAGGAACACCUGCGGUGUAGACGGCUUUCUGGACCAUUGCUGACGCUGAGACACGAAAGCGUGGGUAGCAAACAGG
RNAcentral lists this ribosomal RNA (253 nucleotides) under uncultured bacterium. Its description in RNAcentral is "partial 16S ribosomal RNA". It matches the Rfam family "Bacterial small subunit ribosomal RNA", at positions 524 to 776 of the family's 1533-position model. The record is from RNAcentral.